RNAcentral lists this long non-coding RNA (550 nucleotides) under Homo sapiens (human). Its description in RNAcentral is "non-protein coding lnc-SMPD3-2:1". The record is from RNAcentral. Lineage: Eukaryota; Metazoa; Chordata; Mammalia; Primates; Hominidae.
GGUUCACAAAGGGGGCCCGAGAGGGGCGAAGGGGGCUGCCCGGGGCACGGCUCAUCCCCACACCUGCGCGCGGGUUGGGGGAAGAAUGUGGCCGGCGCAUUCCUCUGCUGGGGCCAGCGGGGGAGAACUUCCCACGUCGAGACUGGGUGAGGGGCUCAGCCAUCCGGCAUCUCGGAGGAGGGGGUCAAGCGCCUGGCCGGGCUCCUGCUCCGCGCCUCCCGCCUCCAAGGUCACUUCAGCCUCCCUGAAGACCGCCCGGCACGGCUCGGAGGCCGCGCACUGCAGCCAGCAAACCUGCGCCCGAGGGCAGAGAGUGAAGGAGGCUGGGUCCAGGCGUGCCCGGCCCUGCACUCCCCACACCGCAGGGUCCUCACGGGCCUUCCGGGACUCCCUUGGCCCCAGGGAGCGCAGCCCCGCGCUCUCCCCGACGCCACUGCCCCAUGCGGACCCCGCCCGCCCCCCAGGGAGCGGUCCCGGUCGGGGCCACGGCGAGGCUGUGGAGUACCUGGAGAAGGAGGAGAGACGCGAGAGGUCCACGAGGGAGCCCCAU